AAAAAGUAGGUGUGCACUAAUUAUUGGGAAAGCACACUCCUCAGCCUCGAGGGAAAACUCUAUGCCUAGAUGCUGGUCAGGAGACUCUGCUCGAUAGUUGAACCUAGGAUUCAGGAGGAACAAUGUGGGUUCCGUCCAGUCUACAUGUGUCAUGUGGACUUGGAGAAGAAUUGUUAUGCCAGAUUAUUUUAUGUAAAUAGUUAAUAUUGGAUUAGAUUAAAUUGGAGAAUAGUUGCACUGUGUAAUCAAGUAUUUUUACUAGAGCUUAAACAACUAAUCGAUAAAAAUCGGUAAUAAUCGUUUAUGAAAAUCGUUGUCAACGAAUCUCAUUAUCGAUUAGUCGGUCUGCGCGCGCACGAGGGAGAUUUACUCACUGCGUUACUUCUGUUCCGAAAACACGCUUCGGAGAGCAAAUACUAAAUUUCUGUCCCAAAUGAAGUACUGUACACUUACACGAUGCACUGUGUACUCUACUGUCUAGUGUGUGGAUUUUAGAAAGGUAAUAUCAUCUCAACUGGAACACUAGCGGGGUUUUUUUACUAACCGGAAGUAUAUGCCGCUUCCUACGUGACGUCAUAUCACGUAAUGCGACGGUGCUAGCUUUAGCCUAAUACCCAGAAUCACCGUACAUGACUCUCUUUUCUCUCAAUGACCAUCAGACGGAGGAGAAAUCGUCAAGGGACUGAGGAACGAAAUCUGCGAGCUCCAAGUCCUCUAAGGCAGAGGAGUAUUUUAUAUUAAACACCGCGGAGAAGAUUUAUAAACUUUAUAAAGCGGAGAUUGUGUAGCACGAACACGACAGUGGUGCUGUCGCGAGUUGCUUUAAAGGUUUAGUUUAAUUUAAGUUUAUUGACAUUAUAUGCUGUAUCAGUGUAACUUAUGUUCUUUAUUAUAACGGAAGUGAUGUGUUAGUAAUGAGGCCGCGUUGCUCCUCACGCGCGGUGUAGAGGCGCUGAUACUGAGUGCAGUUUCUGAUACUCAGUCCUCGGGGAAAUGCUGUUACAGAAUGCAAUUUAUUUACAGACAUUUAGUUUUCUUCAUAUUUUUUUAUUUGAAUUUUUUUGAGUUAUUUUGCCAUAUUUUUCUCAUCUUUGUCCACUUAAAUUUUUUCACAAGUGUGCACUGGAUUUAUGGAUGUUAGUCACCUUGCACCAAACACCAAACUUUGGGACAAGUACUUUCACAUCCCACUGCCAUAUUUUCUAUGUUAAAGUUGCUUUCCGUCACCCAUCUGUCAACACACCCCUUUCAGGGUCACGGGGAACCUGGAGCCUAUCCCAGGGAGCAUGGGGCACAAGGCGGGGUACACCCUGGACGGAGUGCCAAUCCAUCGCAGGACACAAUCACACACACAUUCACACUCACACACCCAUUCAUACACUACGGACACUUUGGACAUGCCAAUCAGCCUACCAUGCAUGCCUUUGGACUGGGGGGAACACGGGGAGAACAUGCAAACUCCGCACACAGGGUAGCGGCAGGAGUUGAACCCCCAAACCUGGAGGUGUGAGGCGAACAUCCAAUUAUAAAUAUUAACAAACAUUUUGUUUUACCCUAAAUUUCUUUUGCUGAUUAACCUACUUCACAAUAUAUAGUAAAUUAUACCUCAAACAGGUGAAUAGGGGUGAAGUGAAUGUGUUUAGUUUCCUUUGGAUCUCAGCAUUCUUCACAUUCCCUCUACUGGAUCAUAUUUAAAGAAUGAUUCCCAUUACAUUCAACCCUAUCACCCCCCCCCCCCCCCCCAAAAAAAAAAAAAAAAAAACAAAACUUUCUUGCCCCAGCUGCUUCAACAUAAGAGUAGUAAGCCCUUACCCUAGAGACUUUGUUUAAACUUUGCUUCAUAGAUCUCCAAGAUUCCAGUCCUGAAAAGAGGUCAUUGUGAUUGAUAGUUCAAGCGGAUGAAGCCAAUUGUAAAUAAAAAGAAAGCAGUUGACUUGGACAUUCAGAAAAUCAAUGGACUAAGUUAUAAGAAUGUAGCAAAAUGGUCAGAAAAAAUAGGAAAAAUCUGUUUCUGAUGGUAUCUCCAAAAUAAUCUCACACGUGUAGGUGAUGGUGAAUGCUUUUUAUUGUUUUAUUCAUUUAUUGAUUUAUUUAAGCUUAUUUGUAUUUUUUAUUUAAUUGAUGCUUUAAAUUACUUUUUAUUGUAUCUAAUGUGUUUGGUACUGUAAGUAAAGAAGACUUGACUUAAAAUCUAAAUUCUCUAGAAUUAAAACCAUCAAAGCCACUUUUCCCCUAUGCUUGUGUUUUAAGUUACUAGGACAGCAUGCAAAAGUGUUUGCACCUAAGAUUUAG
Molecule: long non-coding RNA, 2292 nt
Organism: Ictalurus punctatus (channel catfish)
Lineage: Eukaryota; Metazoa; Chordata; Actinopteri; Siluriformes; Ictaluridae
Source: Ensembl